This 117-nucleotide non-coding RNA is filed under the name Neofamilia massiliensis. Its description in RNAcentral is "FMN riboswitch (RFN element)". It matches the Rfam family "FMN riboswitch aptamer (RFN element)". From Rfam's summary of the family: The RFN element is a highly conserved domain that is found frequently in the 5'-untranslated regions of prokaryotic mRNAs that encode for flavin mononucleotide (FMN) biosynthesis and transport proteins. Lineage: Bacteria; Bacillati; Bacillota; Clostridia; Eubacteriales. The record is from RNAcentral.
UAUCUUCAGGGCGAGGUGAAAUUCCUCACCGGUGGUUACAGUCCGCGAUUUCCUAUAAGAGGAAGAUGAUUUGGUGAAAUUCCAAAACCGACAGUAAAGUCUGGAUGAAAGAAGAUU